UAGUAGGACUAAAUCCCCUAAAGGUACCAAAUCUUAUCUGAUCUUGGAAGCUAAGUGGGAUCAAACCUGGUUCGUACUUGGAUGGGGGACUAUCAAUAAAUAUCAGGUGUUAUGGGGU
RNAcentral lists this ribosomal RNA (118 nucleotides) under Anolis carolinensis (green anole). The record is from RNAcentral. Lineage: Eukaryota; Metazoa; Chordata; Lepidosauria; Squamata; Anolidae.